CGGUGGACAGGUGGCUGCGAUGGCUGUCGUCAGCUCGUGUCGUGAGAUGUUGGGUUAAGUCCCGCAACGAGCGCAACCCUCGUCCUUAGUUGCCAGCAUUCAGUUGGGCACUCUAAGGAGACUGCCGGUGUUAAACCGGAGGAAGGCGGGGAUGACGUCAAGUCCUCAUGGCCCUUAUGUCCAGGGCUACACACGUGCUACAAUGGCCGGUACAAAGGGUAGCAAGACCGCGAGGUGGAGCCAAUCCCAAAAAGCCGGUCUCAGUUCGGAUUGGAGUCUGCAACUCGACUCCAUGAAGUUGGAAUCGCUAGUAAUCGUGGAUCAGCAUGCCACGGUGAAUACGUUCCCGGGCCUU
RNAcentral lists this ribosomal RNA (355 nucleotides) under uncultured Desulfuromonas sp. Its description in RNAcentral is "bacterial SSU rRNA". It matches the Rfam family "Bacterial small subunit ribosomal RNA", at positions 1028 to 1382 of the family's 1533-position model. The record is from RNAcentral. Lineage: Bacteria; Pseudomonadati; Thermodesulfobacteriota; Desulfuromonadia; Desulfuromonadales; Desulfuromonadaceae.